UAGCAGCCAUAAGCCUUCUUCCUCACCAUAUCAAGAAUCUCAAGAAUAGAGAAACCCUAGAAAACCAAGACAGCCGCCACCUUCAUCAGCAACCAAGAAGCCAUGGCCUAGCUCUUCAUCUCCCUCUUCAGUCCCAUCGCCCGCCACCAUCCAACACCAUGUUCACCAAGCUCCAAACGACCAUCUCCGUUGCACUACCGGAAAACGACAACGACCAACACCUCCAGUCAUCAUACCCCACGUCCAAAUGACCAUUGCCUGCUGCCAUGAACAACCAUCGAGCAACUCCAGCUCAAACACAAAUCACCAGCGACCAGACCUCUUCAUCUCUCGCACAAAAGAGAACCGAACCAGACCUCAUCUUCACCCUACUCUUCGCCACUUGCCACCCAUACACGCAGACACAGUAGAGGGGAAACGGACGAGGGAACAGAGGUAAAAAAAAUUCACAUAUACACAUUUAGAAAUACACAGUCACGCAUAGAGAUUAGUUCACCCUCCCCCUCACUCACCCGUAUCCAGCAACACACACACACACAAGUUUAGGAUUCUUCUAAAAAAUCAAAUUUGGGAAUUCAAUGUUACAAAGAAAAAUUGCACAACUCCGAAAGAUCUGAAAAUCGAGAAAAGAUUUCUGAAAAUCUAGAUUUCCAAGGGGUUCUUGAGGUCGAAAUUUGCUGCCUGGUUGCUGAAGUUUUCCGAUCCCGUGUGAUUUCAGUUGAGGUUUUUCGGUCAAGGUCCGACUGAGUUAAUAAGUUUUGCGAUUCAAAGCUUUUAAGGUUUGGAGUUUGCUGUUUUGGUUGCCGAUUUGAGUUUCGCUCGCGGUUUUGGAUUCGUCUCAUUGUUGUCUCCUUCGUUCGGAUCUUCUUUUUUGCAUUGUUGUUGGUAUCUGCUCGAAAUUCAGUAUAAAUUCUAUUCAAUUUUUCAAGGGAAAAUUGCUUCACGCUAAAGGUUCAUCUCUCUUCCCUUAUAAUUGUUUCAAAUGAGUUUUAAUUAAAUUCCGUGAAUACUUGUUUGCCUUUAUUUGUUUGUUUGAUCGAUAUGAAUUGGUUUCCAUGAUCAGUGAGUUUGAUUUCGUAUCAUGUUAAGUUGAAAUGAGAUUAAUGGUGUUAUGCUUGAUGUGUUGCCAGGUUAAUCACUAGAAGCAAUCGUGGGUUUCGGGUAGAACAUUAAACUAUUGCGUUUUAUGUAAUCUCCUAACCUCGUUUCUAUUUUAUCCAUUUGGGGCCGCUAGGAGCAUGCUUAGGCCGAUCACAUUUGGG
RNAcentral lists this long non-coding RNA (1262 nucleotides) under Nicotiana benthamiana. RNAcentral describes it as "long non-coding RNA (NBEN_LNC026104)". The record is from RNAcentral. Lineage: Eukaryota; Viridiplantae; Streptophyta; Magnoliopsida; Solanales; Solanaceae.